RNAcentral lists this unclassified non-coding RNA (314 nucleotides) under Hevea brasiliensis (rubber tree). Lineage: Eukaryota; Viridiplantae; Streptophyta; Magnoliopsida; Malpighiales; Euphorbiaceae. The record is from RNAcentral.
GAAAGUGAAACUAUAUUAUUGUAUAAUGUCAAAAAUGAAUGAAUACAGUUCCAUUUCAAUGAACAAGCCACACUUCCAGACAAGUUGAUACGAAGAACAGUGUGCUCUCAUUGUGAUUAAUAUGACAUAUUCAAACCGAUCCUAGAUACAUUUCAAUAGUUUCAUAGCUAUACUGUAACGUUGAAUAAGUAAACCCUCAGUACCAAAGCAAGAGCAAGUUGCAACAGGAAGAUAGCAGCCACAAUGAAGAACCACCUUUCGCCAGCUGAUGCUGGUGUAGCUGGCUUCAUGUCUGCCACAUUUGUUGCUCUUAA